GGGGAAUAUUGCACAAUGGGGGAAACCCUGAUGCAGCGACGCCGCGUGAGCGAAGAAGUAUUUCGGUAUGUAAAGCUCUAUCAGCAGGGAAGAAGAAUGACGGUACCUGACUAAGAAGCACCGGCUAAAUACGUGCCAGCAGCCGCGGUAAUACGUAGGGAGCAAGCGUUGUCCGGAUUUACUGGGUGUAAAGGGUGCGUAGGCGGCUUUGCAAGUCAGAUGUGAAAUCUAUGGGCUCAACCCAUAGCCUGCAUUUGAAACUGCAGAGCUUGAGUGAAGUAGAGGCAGGCGGAAUUCCCCGUGUAGCGGUGAAAUGCGUAGAGAUGGGGAGGAACACCAGUGGCGAAGGCGGCCUGCUGAGCUUUAACUGACGCUGAGGCACGAAAGCGUGGGUAGCAAACAGGAUUAGAUACCCUGGUAGUCCACGCUGUAAACGAUGAUUACUAGGUGUGGGGGGUCUGACCCCUUCCGUGCCGGAGUUAACACAAUAAGUAAUCCACCUGGGGAGUACGGCCGCAAGGUUGAAACUCAAAGGAAUUGACGGGGGCCCGCACAAGCAGUGGAGUAUGUGGUUUAAUUCGAAGCAACGCGAAGAACCUUACCAGGUCUUGACAUCCAACUAACGAAGUAGAGAUACAUUAGGUGCCCUUCGGGGAAAGUUGAGACAGGUGGUGCAUGGUUGUCGUCAGCUCGUGUCGUGAGAUGUUGGGUUAAGUCCCGCAACGAGCGCAACCCUUGCCAUUAGUUGCUACGCAAGAGCACUCUAAUGGGACUGCCGUUGACAAAACGGAGGAAGGUGGGGACGACGUCAAAUCAUCAUGCCCCUUAUGACCUGGGCUACACACGUACUACAAUGGCCGUAAACAGAGGGAAGCAAAACCGCGAGGUAGAGCAAAACCCUAAAAACGGUCUCAGUUCAGAUUGCAGGCUGCAACCCGCCUGCAUGAAGUCGGAAUUGCUAGUAAUCGCGGAUCAGCAUGCCGCGGUGAAUACGUUCCCG
This 1000-nucleotide ribosomal RNA is filed under the name uncultured bacterium. RNAcentral's name for it is "bacterial SSU rRNA". It matches the Rfam family "Bacterial small subunit ribosomal RNA", at positions 356 to 1376 of the family's 1533-position model. The record is from RNAcentral.